GCAGGGGUUCCCGAGUGGCCAAAGGGAUCAGACUGUAAAUCUGACGCGCAAGCUUCGGAGGUUCGAAUCCUCCCCCCUGCA
RNAcentral lists this transfer RNA (81 nucleotides) under Marinimicrobium koreense. It matches the Rfam family "tRNA". Rfam says of the family: Transfer RNA (tRNA) molecules are approximately 80 nucleotides in length. Their secondary structure includes four short double-helical elements and three loops (D, anti-codon, and T loops). Lineage: Bacteria; Pseudomonadati; Pseudomonadota; Gammaproteobacteria; Cellvibrionales; Cellvibrionaceae. The record is from Rfam by way of RNAcentral.